CCUACGGGCGGCAGCAGUGAGGAAUAUUGGUCAAUGGACGAGAGUCUGAACCAGCCAAGUAGCGUGAAGGAUGACUGCCCUAUGGGUUGUAAACUUCUUUUAUAAAGGAAUAAAACGAGGCACGUGUGCCUUUUUGCAUGUACUUUAUGAAUAAGGAUCGGCUAACUCCGUGCCAGCAGCCGCGGUAAUACGGAGGAUCCGAGCGUUAUCCGGAUUUAUUGGGUUUAAAGGGAGCGUAGAUGGGUUGUUAAGUCAGUUGUGAAAGUUUGCGGCUAAACCGUAAAAUUGCAAUUGAUACUGGCAGUCUAGAGUACAGUUGAGGUAGGCGGAAUUCGUGGUGUAGCGGUGAAAUGCUUAGAUAUCACGAAGAACCCCGAUUGCGAAGGCAGCUUACUAAACUGUGACUGACAUUGAUGCUCGAAAGUGUGGGUAUCAAACAGGAUUAGAUACCCCUGUAGUC
This 460-nucleotide ribosomal RNA is filed under the name uncultured bacterium. Its description in RNAcentral is "partial 16S ribosomal RNA". It matches the Rfam family "Bacterial small subunit ribosomal RNA", at positions 338 to 795 of the family's 1533-position model. The record is from RNAcentral.